AGCUCCAGAAGCAUAUGCUAACGUUGUUGCAGUUGAAAAGCUCCUAGUCACACUAAAUGGGCUGAAUCUUGGUCGUUUGCCUUUGGACGCUUUGCGUUCAUUGUUUUGCAUGGUCUUGAUUUGCCCAUCUUUUGCUCUUUUCUUCUUUUGAAGUGAGGGGCAAUCAUUUACUGUAAAUAAAAUAGAGUGUUCAAAGCAGGUCGUUAGGACCGGAAUAUUUCUUAUGGGAUAAUAAGAUAGGACUGGCGUGCUAUUUUGUUGGUUUGCACACGCGAGUAAUGAUGAAUAGGGACAGUUGGGGGUAUUCGUAUUUAACAGCUAGAGGUGAAAUUCUUGGAUUUGUGAAAGACGAACUACUGCGAAAGCAUUUACCAAGGAUGUUUUCA
This 386-nucleotide ribosomal RNA is filed under the name uncultured eukaryote. RNAcentral's name for it is "SSU rRNA". It matches the Rfam family "Eukaryotic small subunit ribosomal RNA", at positions 587 to 972 of the family's 1831-position model. The record is from RNAcentral.